AAGCAAAGCAAAGGCGAUUACCAGUGAUCGGCGGCAACGAUGAUGGUGGAUCUGAGUUCCUUCUCCGACGAGAAAUUUGAUCCGAAAAAAUGGAUAAACUCAGCGUGCCAGUCACGGCAUCCACAGGAUCCACUGGACAAACACUUGAUAGAUCUGGAAAUGAAGCUUCAGAUGGUGUCUGAAGAGAUCGCCGCUUCCCUGGAGGAGCAAAGCUCCGCCGCACUCCUCCGUGUCCCCCGCGCUAAUCGAGAUGUCAUCCGCCUUCGUGACGAUGCUCUCUCCCUUCGCUCCUCUCUCUCUGCCAUCCUCCAAAAACUUAAAAAAGCUGAGGGAUCAUCUGCUGAAUCUGUAGCUACAUUAGCAAAAGUUGAUACUGUCAAGCGGAGAAUGGAAGCUGCAUAUGAGACAUUGCAGGAUGCUGCUGGUUUAACUCAAUUAAGCUCAACAGUGGAGGAGGUAUUUGCUAGUGGUGACCUUCCACGAGCUGCAGAAACUCUGGCUAAUAUGAGGCACUGUUUGUCUGCCGUUGGAGAGGUUGCUGAAUUUGCCAAUAUUAGGAGGCAACUAGAAGUUUUAGAAGACAGACUAGACUCAGUUGUCCAACCUCGACUGACAGAUGCUCUAAGCAAUCGAAAGGUUGAUGUUGCCCAAGAAAUGCGUGCGAUUCUUCUGAGAAUUGGGAGAUUCAAGUCGUUAGAGAUGCACUACACCAUGGUCCACCUUAAGCCAAUAAAGCGGCUUUGGGAAGAUUUUGACUUGAGGCAGCAGGCCAAUAAAGUUGCCAAUGAAAAAAGUGAAAUGGAUAGACUAUCAAAUUCUCAGGAUUUUCAACCGUCCAUGAUAUCAUUCUCAAGUUGGCUGACUAGUUUCUACGAUGAAUUGUUGCUUUAUCUUGAACAGGAGUGGAAGUGGUGUAUGUUUGCCUUUCCAGAAGAAUACAGAACUCUUGUACCAAGCCUACUAAAUGAAGCAAUGUCAACUAUUGGUGUGAGUUUUGCAUCACAGAUCAAUCUUGCCAUUGGGGAUGCCGUGACUGAGACAAAAACCUUGGCGAAAGGUAUAAUUGACAUUUCAAAUGGAGAUUUGCCAAAAGGUGCCAAGAUUCAGACUAAACAUUUGGAAGCCCUUAUUGAACUUCAUAAUACAACAGGGAGCUUUGCUAGGAACAUUCAACACCUGUUUUCAGAUGCCGAUCCUCAAGUUUUUCUGGAUGCUCUGAAGGCAGUGUACCUUCCUUAUGAAUUUUUCAAAAGGCGAUAUGGACAGAUGGAGCGUGCAGUUCUCUCUAGUGAGAUUGCAGGACUUGAUCUCAGAGGAGCUGCUGUUACUCUUGUGGGAGUCCAGGGAGUUGAACUUAGUGAAACUGUACGAAGGAUGGAAGAGUCAAUUCCACAAGUCAUUUUGCUUCUUGAGGCAGCAGUUGAAAGAUGCAUCAACUUUACUGGUGGCUCUGAGGUGGAUGAGUUAAUUCUCGUGCUGGAUGAUGUCAUGCUACAGUAUAUUUCCACUUUGCAGGAGAAUGUAAAAUCACUGAGAGCUGUUUGUGGACUGGAUGUGGAUGCUAUUAGUACAAAGAAAGAUGCAGGAUCAGAAAGAAGGGAAACAGCUUCAAAUGCACGUAAAGUUGACUUCACAUCAAGUGAGGAGGAGUGGUCAUUUGUUCAAGGUGCAUUGCAGAUCCUUACUGUUGCUGAUUGUUUAACCAGCAGAUCUUCAGUCUUUGAAGCUUCCCUCAAGGCUACUCUUGCUAGGUUGAGUACAAGCCUCUCUUUCUCAGUUUUUGGGUCAAGUAUUGAUCAGAACAAGCCAGAUAUAGUCAAUGAUGAUGGAAAUGGGCAAUUAUCUGUGGCUCGAAAAGCUGCCUUGGAUGUGGCAGCUGUGAGACUGGUGGAUAUUCCUGAAAAGGCUCGGAAGCUUCUUAAUUUAUUGGAGCAGUCUAAAGAUCCCAGGUUCCAUGCACUUCCAGUAGCAUCACAACGAGUUACAGCUUUCUCAGACGCAGUCAAUGAGCUUGUUUACGAUGUUCUUAUUUCAAAAAUACGGCAGCAGUUCAAUGAUCUGUCACGGCUGCCCAUAUGGUCAUCUGUUGAAGAACAUAGUCUAAGGCCCCUCCCAACCUUCAGUUCAUACCCACAAUCUUAUGUGACUGGCGUUGGUGAAUAUCUCCUUACGUUACCCCAACAACUAGAGCCACUUGUAGAGAAUAUUUCCAACAGCGAUCCCAAUGCUGAUGAAGCCCAGUACUUUGCAACUGAAUGGAUGUUCAAGGUU
Molecule: unclassified non-coding RNA, 2271 nt
Filed under: Hevea brasiliensis (rubber tree)
Lineage: Eukaryota; Viridiplantae; Streptophyta; Magnoliopsida; Malpighiales; Euphorbiaceae
Source: RNAcentral